CUUUCAUAGCUGCAUAGGACUUUAAAACUCCCCCAAAGUGCUACAAACAAAAAGUACUCUUCAAGUGCUGUCAACCUAAAGGUUAACAGGUUGAAGGGACCCUGGGCUAAGGAAGCACAAGCUGGAGACACCAAAAUGGUCUUCGCAACUCGCCUCUAUAUUUUCUGCCCUGCUCCUAAGCCAGCCUGUUGGCCGACUGGCCCUUCUCCACAGAUGUCAUCUUGAGCCUCUUACAGAGUUUCAGCACUGACAUUAAUGACAAGAUGGAUCACCUACAGGACAACCUUGGAUCCUCAACCAGCCUGAUUAAGCAUUGACACUGCAUUUGUCACCACCAGCUCUGAUGGUUUGGACAUGUAGAAAUGUAUUGCAGGAGAAUAUGCAAACAGCUGCUGUAAGGUGAGCUGAUCGGGACAACUGCCAGCAGGCAGAAGGGAAGGCAUAAUUAAUGGGCACCCUUCAGCAGAGCUCAGAGCAGACCAAACGCCAAUGCAGAAGGCUCAAGAAAGAGGCAAACAGACUAGCCACUGCUCCAGGAUGACUGUGGCUCUUUAUGAGUGAAGAGAAAGGGUGGAGACUGAAGACAGAACUGGGGACAGUGACAGGCUUGGGGAAGAACAGCUGAUUCAGCAGUCCCAAGGGUGACAUCGCAAAAUACAUGGGUGAAGACAACCUAGUGGCCGUGACUUGGAGCACCCUUCCUCACAAUGAAGGCAUUCUGGGCCAGCCUGAAAAACAGCAUGGAAAUAAAUCACCUAAGUACAAGCAGUUUGAUGGGUCCACGUGCCAGCAAGAUAGAGAUACUCAUCAGGAAGUUGGCCAUGCAAGUUUGAAAUUUGAGAGAAGAAUCACAAAAAUGCAAAGGCUGUGCUCAAAUAAAAAUGAACUCCUUUGGUAAAGUCCUGGUCUUCAAUUCACUAAUGUUAAGGUGGGAACCAUCCCAUUACUCUGGAAUGUAUGUUCUUAAAUCAAGUGAUCAGAUUUUCUUACAUUGGUAGAGGCAAAGGAAUGGGAAUCAUAUACUAAUGGAUUUUAUACAAAACACAGCAUAAAAAAAUUACCAUAACACUUUUAAGAUUAAAACCAGAUUAAAAAUUAAUAAAACUUACAAAUGACAAAUGUUUUCUACAUACUAGACUGAAAGACAUUAUUGCAUUUUCUAUUUUAAAAUAAAAUGACUCUAUCUAGAAUGGUUUAAGUGAGUUCCUCUCAAAGCAGAAAACUUCUUAAGAUUAUUUUCUAUAAGGUCCUUCAGAAACAAGAAACCCUCUAACCUUAGAGUUACUUUUUAUCAAUUCUUACCUUGCCAACCUAGACUUCUCAGCCAAACUUCCUAAUCUUAAUUCCUUAGCAGAUAUGGUAAAUUCCUUAGAAACCUACUUGAUGAUGUACAACUAUCUUCAUGAUCCUAUCAAUAUACUCAGGCAACUAUCUAAUCACCAAGGUUAUGUGUUGGGAAGGGAAAGGUGAAAUACAUCGAUCCUUCUGUCUGAAGACUUGAUUAACUCUCAGCCAGGCAC
Molecule: long non-coding RNA, 1520 nt
Filed under: Homo sapiens (human)
Lineage: Eukaryota; Metazoa; Chordata; Mammalia; Primates; Hominidae
Description: HSALNT0319500
Source: RNAcentral